Molecule: ribosomal RNA, 813 nt
Filed under: uncultured delta proteobacterium
Lineage: Bacteria; Deltaproteobacteria
Description: bacterial SSU rRNA
Rfam family: Bacterial small subunit ribosomal RNA
Source: RNAcentral
GCGGCGCACGGGUGAGUAACACGUAGGUAACCUACCCCCAAGCCUGGGAUAACCCGCCGAAAGGUGGGCUAAUACCGGAUAUGACCACGGGAGUCUCGGCUCCUGCGGUGAAAGGUGGCCUCUGCUUGCAAGCUACCACUCGGGGAUGGGCCUGCGCGCCAUUAGCUAGUUGGCGGGGUAAUGGCCCACCAAGGCUCUGAUGGCUAGCUGGUCUAAGAGGAUGGCCAGCCACACUGGGACUGACACGCGGCCCAGACUCCUACGGGAGGCAGCAGUGGGGGAUAUUGCGCAAUGGGCGAAAGCCUGACGCAGCGACGCCGCGUGGGUGAUGAAGGCCUUCGGGUCGUAAAGCCCUGUCGAGGGGGAAGAAACGGUUUCGACCUAACACGUCGGAGCCCUGACGGUACCACUAAAGGAAGCACCGGCUAACUCCGUGCCAGCAGCCGCGGUAAUACGGAGGGUGCAAGCGUUGUUCGGAAUCACUGGGCGUAAAGCGCGUGUAGGCGGUCCGCUAAGACUGAUGUGAAAGCCCGGGGCUCACCCCCGGAAGGGCAUUGGAAACUGGCGAACUCGAGUCCCGGAGAGGAGGGUGGAAUUCCUGGUGUAGCGGUGAAAUGCGUAGAUAUCAGGAGGAACACCGGUGGCGAAGGCGGCCCUCUGGACGGUGACAGACGCUGAGACGCGAAAGCGUGGGGAGCAAACAGGAUUAGAUACCCUGGUAGUCCACGCUGUAAACGAUGAGCACUAGGUGUCGCGGGUAUUGACCCCUGCGGUGCCGCAGCUAACGCAUUAAGUGCUCCGCCUGGGGACUAC